GCCUCGCUCUCGCCCUGUUUGCCUGCGUUGCGCCUCGGCAGUGGACCUAAUGACGGCGGGCGCGGCAGGCGGCUGCUGACGGCAGAGCCCGGGGCGGCGAAGGUGGUGUCGGCAGCUGCCGGCCAUGAAGCCCGGGGCGGGGGAGGCGGGCGCUGCGACGGAUCCGGCCGAGGCAGCGACGUAUCAUGCCGGAGCGACGACGGAUCCGGCCGGGGAGGCUGCGGAUUCGGUCGGAGCGGCAGUGGAUCUGGGAGCGGCCGGAGCUUCCUCACGACAGCGAUCGCGGGCGAAGGUUCCUGUCGGCGACGAGGCCCGGGCCGGCGGGUCCAGGCGGGCCGGCGAUGGAUGUGGGAGCUAGCGGGCAUCGCCUUCCUCUCCGCCUCGCUCCCUCCCUGUCCGGCCGCGGUACGCAUCCUCCGGUCCGCCUCUCCGCGCUUGGAGGAGCUGCUGCACCGGCAGGCGCUGGCCAUGGCCAUCCACCAGCACCUCGACGCCGAGGGCUCCAUGUCGCGCCGCAUCGACGCGGGCGGCUCCAUGUCCCGCCGCAUCGGCCCCGGCUCCACCAGCUCCCGCUGCCGCGACGACCUCCCGGACUCCGUCACGAAUGGCAAGGCAGUGAACAUCGAUCUUUGCAAUAGCUUCUCAGUUGACCAUUACCCUUUCGGACUUCGGGGUCCACAACAAAAUCUGCUUCUGCUAAGCGGGAUUCUAAGCAAGACAAUAGCGAGAUAAAAUUAAUUGAUGAUGGAAGAACAGCAUAGCAUUUACUUAAGUGGAUAAAUAAUCGGAUUAAAUGGUGAUGAGCUUAGCAAGACCAGGCAUGAAGGAAUACAAGUUGGAAAGCAUAUUUCUCCAUCAUGUUUAUGUGUAUGGAGGCUGUCGACAUUGCUCUUAUACAUGUAUAUGUCCUGCCAGAAAGAAUAGAUAUUUACAGUGGCAGAGUUUUGCUAUCAAGAAUCAAACAACAGUUAUGUUCUUCAUUAUGGGCAUCCUGCUGCACCAAAUGAACGGACCCUGAAUGAUGGAGACAUGGCACUAAUGGACAUGGGAGGUGAAUACAAUUACUAUGGAUCUGAGAUAACAUGCUCAUACCCUUUCUCCGCCACCUUGUUAGCCAAAUUUGCCAGUCAGCAUUAAAUCCUACAGUAUAGUACCCGGAGAAAGGAUGGGAUGGGAUGGAGGUUGAAUUAGCUUCAACCAUGUCUUCAUUUUGAAUAUUACAAUGUCAUCUGUUGAAUCUAUCAGGUCUUCUAAUUCUACACCUAGGAGGGCUGAGUUACAUGUAGUACUCGUGAGAAUUAUGGCCUUCUAAACCAUUAUACAAAACACCAUGUCACUGGAAAUGCAUUUCGCCAUGUUUGCAGUGAAAUGUAUGAGAAUGCGUUGAAUGGAUGAUAUGGAUCAAUACCAACAAUUACUUAUUGUACAUACUUUAUAAACUAAAAAUAACAGAAUUUUCUUUUAAUGGCUCUAUAUCUAUUUCUUUUUAUGUCCACUCACCAACAAAUGUAUUAAUGCUAUGUGUUUUGUGGAAGUAACCAAUUUUUCUUUCAUUU
This is an RNA transcript of Oryza brachyantha (malo sina), 1556 nucleotides long. It is a transcript of the gene named xaa-Pro aminopeptidase-like, with no coding region annotated. Lineage: Eukaryota; Viridiplantae; Streptophyta; Magnoliopsida; Poales; Poaceae. The record is from RefSeq and is a predicted model, not a curated record. The transcript has 8 exons.